RNAcentral lists this ribosomal RNA (126 nucleotides) under Pezizella vulgaris. RNAcentral's name for it is "partial large subunit ribosomal RNA". It matches the Rfam family "Eukaryotic large subunit ribosomal RNA", at positions 99 to 224 of the family's 3401-position model. The record is from RNAcentral. Lineage: Eukaryota; Fungi; Ascomycota; Leotiomycetes; Helotiales; Pezizellaceae. RNAcentral also lists the same sequence under 1 other name.
CGGCAACAGCUCAAAUUUGAAAUCUGGCUCUUCUAGGGUCCGAGUUGUAAUUUGUAGAAGAUGCUUCGGGUGUGGCUCCGGUCUAAGUUCCUUGGAACAGGACGUCAUAGAGGGUGAGAAUCCCGU